Chlorocebus sabaeus (green monkey) is the source of this 84-nucleotide non-coding RNA. NCBI's taxonomy places the organism in Eukaryota, Metazoa, Chordata, Mammalia, Primates, Cercopithecidae. The record is from RefSeq and is a predicted model, not a curated record.
AGGUCGAUGAUGAGAACCUUAUAUUGUCUGAAGAGAGGUGAUGACAUAAAAUCAGCUGCUCAAUAGGAUUCUGCUUUGAGGCCC